CAUGACUUGAUGGAAUAAGGCCUCCCUGGAGCCUUCUCCUCUCUAGGCUAGAAGACCAACUCCCCAAACCUUUCUCCAUGGGACACCCAUUCCAGCUGGGUGCAGUCAUCCAGGCAGAUCCCAACCCCUCAAACAGCCCAUCCACCAAACCCAGAUCUCUCCAGUUUAAUGACAAGGAAGCUGUAGCUGACUGUGGCAAAGGCCUUACAGGAGCUGAGGAUUGCAUUUACAAAUAAAACUGUGUGAGAACUACUCAACUGGAUCAGGCAGCAGUCCCUGUUGCCCAACAUUCAGCCUCUGAGAGCAGAAUGUUGCAGAUGUUGAUGGAAACAGCAUCAGAAACAAGGUCUGCUGCCUGAUCACUUAGGAAUUUAUGCCACAGUGAGGGAGAAACUUGCACAGAAAAGAAGGGGAGCUGUGUCCAUGUACAUGCAGAAACGCCUGAUGAUUUUUGCCAUUAAAGCAAACUUUCCCAUGUUGAAAUUCUGGCAAAAAAGGUUUGGGAUUUGAUCUGCUGGUGGUGUUAAACCAGUAUGAACCAACAUGCUGCUGGAGGAUUCCUCUUCUACCAAGUGACAAGAGACAGGAUGAGAGGAAAUGGCCUCAAGGUGCACCAGGGGAGCUUUGGACUGGAUUUCAGAAAAAAUUUCAAGGAUUGGAGCAGGCUGUGCUGAGAAGUGGUGGAGCCACCAUCACUGGAAGUGUUCAAAACAUGUGUGGGUACAGCAGCUGGUGCUGUUCUGACUUGCACUUGGUCUUAAAGGUCUUUUCCAACGUUACUGAUUCUAUGAUUCCAUGCCAAAGGUGCUUUUCCUCCCAUGGAAGGAGCAGAGGGCUCAAUCAGCAGUACUGCAAGGUUAAUGCAACAUGUGCUGGGCUCCUCUGCUUCUCAUAGAAAGGGAGAGAGCAAAGGCAUUUCACCUCAGGCUUUUAAAAGUGCUCCCAGACUGUUCUUCAGCCCUCUCCUUUCCUUCUGCCCCCACCACAAAUGCAAUCCAAAUACGAGCCCAAUAAAAAAUUCCUGGCAGUUAAAGGAGGAAAAUUAAGCAGCAAGGACAGGUUUUGCUGGUUGUGUUUGAACAG
Long non-coding RNA from Passer domesticus (house sparrow), 1083 nucleotides. RefSeq lists it as uncharacterized. The transcript has 4 exons. Lineage: Eukaryota; Metazoa; Chordata; Aves; Passeriformes; Passeridae. The record is from RefSeq and is a predicted model, not a curated record.